Molecule: ribosomal RNA, 1436 nt
Filed under: Klebsiella pneumoniae subsp. pneumoniae
Lineage: Bacteria; Pseudomonadati; Pseudomonadota; Gammaproteobacteria; Enterobacterales; Enterobacteriaceae
Description: bacterial SSU rRNA
Rfam family: Bacterial small subunit ribosomal RNA
Source: RNAcentral
CUCAGAUUGAACGCUGGCGGCAGGCCUAACACAUGCAAGUCGAGCGGUAGCACAGAGAGCUUGCUCUCGGGUGACGAGCGGCGGACGGGUGAGUAAUGUCUGGGAAACUGCCUGAUGGAGGGGGAUAACUACUGGAAACGGUAGCUAAUACCGCAUAACGUCGCAAGACCAAAGUGGGGGACCUUCGGGCCUCAUGCCAUCAGAUGUGCCCAGAUGGGAUUAGCUAGUAGGUGGGGUAACGGCUCACCUAGGCGACGAUCCCUAGCUGGUCUGAGAGGAUGACCAGCCACACUGGAACUGAGACACGGUCCAGACUCCUACGGGAGGCAGCAGUGGGGAAUAUUGCACAAUGGGCGCAAGCCUGAUGCAGCCAUGCCGCGUGUGUGAAGAAGGCCUUCGGGUUGUAAAGCACUUUCAGCGGGGAGGAAGGCGGUGAGGUUAAUAACCUCAUCGAUUGACGUUACCCGCAGAAGAAGCACCGGCUAACUCCGUGCCAGCAGCCGCGGUAAUACGGAGGGUGCAAGCGUUAAUCGGAAUUACUGGGCGUAAAGCGCACGCAGGCGGUCUGUCAAGUCGGAUGUGAAAUCCCCGGGCUCAACCUGGGAACUGCAUUCGAAACUGGCAGGCUAGAGUCUUGUAGAGGGGGGUAGAAUUCCAGGUGUAGCGGUGAAAUGCGUAGAGAUCUGGAGGAAUACCGGUGGCGAAGGCGGCCCCCUGGACAAAGACUGACGCUCAGGUGCGAAAGCGUGGGGAGCAAACAGGAUUAGAUACCCUGGUAGUCCACGCUGUAAACGAUGUCGAUUUGGAGGUUGUGCCCUUGAGGCGUGGCUUCCGGAGCUAACGCGUUAAAUCGACCGCCUGGGGAGUACGGCCGCAAGGUUAAAACUCAAAUGAAUUGACGGGGGCCCGCACAAGCGGUGGAGCAUGUGGUUUAAUUCGAUGCAACGCGAAGAACCUUACCUGGUCUUGACAUCCACAGAACUUUCCAGAGAUGGAUUGGUGCCUUCGGGAACUGUGAGACAGGUGCUGCAUGGCUGUCGUCAGCUCGUGUUGUGAAAUGUUGGGUUAAGUCCCGCAACGAGCGCAACCCUUAUCCUUUGUUGCCAGCGGUCCGGCCGGGAACUCAAAGGAGACUGCCAGUGAUAAACUGGAGGAAGGUGGGGAUGACGUCAAGUCAUCAUGGCCCUUACGACCAGGGCUACACACGUGCUACAAUGGCAUAUACAAAGAGAAGCGACCUCGCGAGAGCAAGCGGACCUCAUAAAGUAUGUCGUAGUCCGGAUUGGAGUCUGCAACUCGACUCCAUGAAGUCGGAAUCGCUAGUAAUCGUAGAUCAGAAUGCUACGGUGAAUACGUUCCCGGGCCUUGUACACACCGCCCGUCACACCAUGGGAGUGGGUUGCAAAAGAAGUAGGUAGCUUAACCUUCGGGAGGGC